RNAcentral lists this ribosomal RNA (490 nucleotides) under uncultured bacterium. RNAcentral describes it as "partial 16S ribosomal RNA". It matches the Rfam family "Bacterial small subunit ribosomal RNA", at positions 28 to 507 of the family's 1533-position model. The record is from RNAcentral.
GAUGAACGCUAGCUACAGGCUUAACACAUGCAAGUCGCGGGGCAGCAUGGGGGUUGCUUGCAACUCCCGAUGGCGACCGGCGCACGGGUGAGUAACGCGUAUCCAACCUGCCCUUCACCACGGGAUAACCCGGCGAAAGUCGGACUAAUACCGUAUGUUGUCCAUUGACGGCAUCCGAUUUGGACGAAAGGCUUUGCGGCGAAGGAUGGGGAUGCGUCCGAUUAGCCAGACGGCGGGGUAACGGCCCACCGUGGCUACGAUCGGUAGGGGUUCUGAGAGGAAGGUCCCCCACACUGGAACUGAGACACGGUCCAGACUCCUACGGGAGGCAGCAGUGAGGAAUAUUGGUCAAUGGGCGUAAGCCUGAACCAGCCAAGUAGCGUGCAGGAUGACGGCCCUAUGGGUUGUAAACUGCUUUUAUGCGGGGAUAAAGUGGCCCACGUGUGGGCUUUUGCAGGUACCGCAUGAAUAAGGACCGGCUAAUUCCGUG